CUUCAAAAAUAAUAUCACUAGCAAGCACAAAGGGAGACGGUCUUUAUUCCAAGUAAGUAAUCAAUCUUUUUGUUUUUGUUUUUUUCCAUGAACAUGAUUUUUGAGCUGAUCAUUCAGAUUGGAAGCCAGUCGACUAAAAUUAAACCUAAGAAGAAACAGAGGGAAAAUAGAAGUAGGCCCGUUCACUAUGGCUUCGUCUGGUUUACCAACUUAUGAUUUUGGAUACAAACCUAAGCUGAAUACAUGUCACUCCUCGCCAGUUUCUAGGCGCUGGUAGCGGUUGGGGAAAGCUGAGCGUUUGGCACCCCCUCCUGCUUCCGGGCAUCCUUGUUCCUCGUCAUUCGGUUGAGUAGGUUUACGGCGAUCACCGCAUCUACCGCCGCCUUGAAGAUCCUGCCUUUGACCUGACCUCUCCUUGGGGGGACUCUAACUAAUUUCACUUGCUUGGAGUCUUUCUGUUCCAUUGCCUUCUAUCUUCUGUUUUUUUCUGAAAGUGUCGAUGAAGAAGCAGAAGGAAAGAAGAAAACAGAGGAGGAGGUGCGAUGUGGAGAGCCCAAGAGCAUGGGAUCUAUAUAUAAGAAAUUCUCGGGUUAGUGAGCCCAUGAAGUGUCUCCCUCAUGAUUGUAAAUAAACCAUUGACUACUCAUUCUUGAUCUGAAUAUAUGCCAAACCCGAGCGCCCCAUCAGAUUUUGUCCCUUUUUUUUUAUAUGAUGGAUAUUUAGCUUUAUUCUAACUUUAUAAAUUUCUUUACAACAAAAAUUAUAAGUAAUAUUCACAACAAAAUUAGUUAUACUCCCCGUAACCAUUAUCGGGUACUCCAAGCAAGGAUCGAACCUAGGACCAUACAUAGAGAAAUUCAUCCCAACAAAUUAGACACACUAUCAAGCUAAAAAAGAUUUAAUUUCAUUCUUUGAUUUCAAAUUUCAUCGAUUGUUUACCCAAAAUCUUUAUAAAACAUUAUAAUAGAAAUUAUGCACAUGUCUUUUUGAAGGAUUUAAUAUCCAAGUUGAUGCUUCCUUAUCUACAAAUGGCUGCAUAACUCCUAGUCUUAAAAGUACUCAAAAGAGGUUUUGUUAAAUCAACCUAUUUUUUCCCUAUAGUUCCUAAUGUGAUUAGGACCCAUAAGGCAAUAUGUGAAGGAUGUGUUACUUUAUACCUCUACUUUCUUCCUAAUCUUUCUGAUUGGGGCCCAUAAUGGUGAGAUGGUAUUGAUUUGAUUGUAAUUAAGAAGAUGGAAUAAUAUCAUGGCUACUCCUUUGCACAAAUUCCUACAGUAUUAGUUUCUACUUGAAAUGGUGUGAGUUCCAACUUUAAUGCUAAUCAGAGUUUUGGGAUCCAGCUAUAAAUGAAUCCCAGCUUAGUUAAUUAGUUGUUAGGUAUAAAAUAUUAAAAAAUUAUCGGGUAUUCAAUCGACGCCUAUCAAACUUGUAAUUUCAAGUAUUAAAAAAGUAUAAUUAAACUAAAGUCGGUUGAUGACGAUAUGAAAUUAAAAUAUUAAAAAGUAGGAUGCAAGUUUGAAUAUAAAAAUAACGUGACCAAAUUAAUUAGUCCUGCUUUUUUGAUUGGUAAAUUUGUGAAAUGGGAUGAGGUCCAAAGGCUCUACGUGGCUAAAUCCAAGUCAUUCAACUCUCAACAAAUUUUUGAGAAUCCUAGCUUGAGCUUCAUGCCAUGGCCCUAGUAGAAUUGACGCUUCAAACAGGCCCCUAUCCUACCCUUAAUUAGUGGAUGACGGCCUUUGACCAAAGGUUUAGUCCAAUAUCCCAAUCAAUCCAAGUCUUAGCCCAUUGAGCACACCAGCACAAAAGGCACGUUUUGAUUAUACAGCAAGGCCAGAAAGUAGUAGUGGGCGAUGGUCUGAAUGGUUGUUUGACUGAAAAUCAAACAAGAAGUAUAUUUUAGGGGCAAACUUAUAUUGUCGCUUGAGUGGCUUUACUUUAAUUGCGUCACAUAGCAUGUGAACUUAUGUAAGAGAGUGAUAAGCCUUACAUUUUUAAAUAUACAUUAUACCCACUUGUUUUCUUUUUCAAAUGUUUUAUUUAAAAAAAAAAAUUAUCUGUUUGGUUCCCAAUAAGAAAAAAAAAAUUACUAAGUAAGGGAUGGAAAAAAAUGAUUUUCUUUUUUAUGCUUAGUUUUUUAUUAAAAUAAUAAAAAUAAAUAAAUAUAAUUAAAAUUAUUUAAAAUUUAUAUAUUUUUAAAUUAUUUAAUCUUUAUAAAUUAAAAAAUAAAAUAAAAUAAAUUUAAAGAAAUAUAUAAAAUUAAUUUAUUGAUUUUAAACUUUAUUUUUAUUUUUUUUUCUUAUUUUCUUUUCCUCGUAUUUUUCUACAAGUUUUUUUUAAACCAAAUAUAACCAAAAUGAUUCAUACUAUAUAUUAAAUCUGAAUCCUAUAAAUUUAAAUAUUUAAAAAAGUUUUAAAGCUUAAUUUAAUGGAACCCUCUCAAAUUUAUAUGUUUAUUUUUUUUUCAAUUUUUUGGCAUCUCAACCCCGAGCAGAGGAUUAUUUAAAAAAAAAUCUUAUUUAUAUUAUAAUUAUAUAAGAAUGACGUGUCAAAAUAAUAAUAAUAAACAUGUUCUAAAACAAUAAUUUUGGAAUAAUAAGAAAAAGGUAACAAUAUCUUCCGGAUUGAAAGCCUAAAAAAUCUUAUCCAUUGAUGGCGAUGAAUUCCUUUCAUUUUGAAAUUAUUAUUUAAAUAAUAAUAAUAAUAAAUAAAUAAAAACCCUAAAAAAUAAGCACGUUCCUAAGGUUGAAUUCAACGGAUGACGCAACGUCAAAUAAUUAAUAUACGCAAGGAUUGAGGAUAUUUUCCUUUGGUCUUUGCUUAAAAUCAUGUGCCAAGGGGGAUGAACCGCUCAUGCACAUGUGCUACCAGUAUGCGUCUCUUUUCACUUGGAGUCUGUAAAGUAUCACGAGGCAAAAAAAUAAUAAGGAAAAUAUUUUUUUAUUUGAUUUAUUAUAAAAAAAUAAUAAUAAUAAUAAACUAAAAUAUAAUUAAAAUUUCAUGUCUUUUUUAAUUUUCUAAUAUUUAUAUAGAAAAUAAAUAAAUGAAAUGAUUUUGAAAAGUAUGUAAAAAUAAUUUAUUAAGUCUAAAUUUAUUUUUUAUUUUAUUUGAUUUGUCCUUUUUCUCUUUUUAAUUUUGUGAAAAUAAUGAAUGGAUGUUAAAUGGAAUAAAAAUUGUGAUGAAAAAAAAAACUAAAAUUUGAAUAGAGUUAAAAUUGUUAAAAAAAAAAAAAAACAUGUAUAUUUUAGUUUUUUUGGAAAAAAAAAAUUGUCUCAAAUUUAAUGAAUUUAAAGAUAAAGUUUUCGCCCCAAAUAUAACUCUUUGAGCAAACUCAUCUACUAUUGGCUUUUCUACACAUGGUUGUGCCUUAUUGCUAAUCAAAAUUUUGGGAUAGGAAGUGAGUUCUAUUUUAAUUUAUUUUUUUUAUUACCCAAAAUAUUGGAUAAUUAAGCAAUCCCUUGAAUAAUUGUGGAUGAAUAAUUUCCAGUUCUAAAAACAUUGUUUUUAAUUAAAAACUGAUUUUAAAAAUAUUAUUACCAAACAAGCCAAAGUGAAAGAAGAGGACGGUACUCAUGCAAAUCAAGAAAGAGAGGUAGGAUUUCACAAUGAAAGAGUCUGAAAUCAACAUUCAAACCCUUCUUAUUCACAAGCGCCUUACUAGUUACUUCAACAUUCCACUGCGUCACUCAAAACAACAUAGAAUUUAUUCAAUCACUGCAAGCCAAACUAGCUGAACCAAAGUCGAUGAUCACUCUCCUCCUCAGGCUUUGAUUUUUCUCGCUGGAAGCGCGCGGCCGCUUUAGCCGGUGGGAUUGCAGAUUUUUGAGCUUUCGCCACCUUCUCCUUCCUCUGUCUUCCCUGUUCGCACUCCCAUUACGGAGAAUACCUUCUCUGCCACAUCUCCCAUCACCCAAGCUUUUACCCGUCCCCUCCUGGGUGGAAGAUCGGCCCUUUCUUUCUUCACUGGCUUGGUGGAUUUGCUGUCCAUGGCGGCUUUCAAUCGAAAGGGCAGAAGGGAAGAAGUUUUCAGUGCCUACAGGGACUGAAGCACGGGAAAAGAAGAAAAGCAGAUGGAGGUGGGUGUGGUGGUCAGACCAAGGAACUUGGUGGGGAUCUAUAUAAGGUCUUAGAAGCCGACGGGUGAGGUGUCACCGCACCCAGUGUGAAUCCAUCGAGUUGAAUUUGACUAAUGGCUUUUUUCCUUAGGUGAGCGCCUCCAAGUCUCUACAAGCAAACAACGGCAUCGGCAAGCGGAUUUGGAUUCAUGUCCCACUUACUAAUACCACAUUUUCAUGUAUUCACUACUCACUUUAACCGAUCAAUUAUUCUUCAUAUUUAUACACUUAUCUUUUAAAAUAUCUUUUUUAAAAAGUGAAAAUAAUAAAUAAAUAAAAAUUAAAACAUAAUAUUUGGGAACACUAUUUAAAACAAAUUCAUAAAAAAUCCCCUUCCAUAAUAUAAAAGAUGCUUUAAAAAUAUGGACACAGUUUUUUGUUUUUAAAAAAUAAAAAAAUUGUCUUAAAAAUAAUUAAUUCUCCAACAAGGGCUUAACUUUUUUUGUGAACCAAACUAAAGGGUAGGAGCAUUUUCAAGUGACGGCACAUUCAUCCAUUAGUACCGAACUCCAUAUGUUUUUUAAUUAAUAGGUUAAAAAUAAUGAAAUAAUCCUCAUAUUUAUGAAAUUAAACCCUCCUAUGUAUUUAUUUAAAGAAUAACUCAUUUUUGACAUAAAUGUCCUUAACUAUUUCAAGUAUUUAUACGUACAUUUUAAAAGAAAUUAUUAAUUUUACAAUAAAAAAUAAGGAUAUUUUGAUGAAAAUGAAACCAAAAAAUGAUGGAGAAUUAAAUUUCUAAAAUCAGGUUUUCAAUGACCCUUUUAAUCAAUUAACAUUAUAUUUUUUCAUUUAGUGGGCUAUUUCCUAGAAAACUCUACCUAUCUAUGAACUAGGGUUUAGGCCCGGACAAAUAGAAUAAUACAAAAGAUACAUGCCAAUUUUAUAUACAUAUAGAAAGAUUCAUUGUCUGCUAAUGGCCACAUUACUAACUAAAUAACUAAAAGAACUGUUUACCCCCAAUUCCCAAGUAUUUAAAAAGAGGCAAGAAGAAGCCAACUUCCACCCAAACUUGUCUUCAUUUUUUUUUAGUUUAUAACAACUACCUACCGUCUCAGGAUAGAAUUUUCAACCAUAUUCUAGAGGGUUUUUCUCUUUCUUUCUCACUUUUGGCUUUUUUUUCCUUGUCAUAUUUUUAUUCAACAAAAAGUAUUCAUAUUAAGGAUAAGGAAUAACAAACUGAAAUUCAAUUCUACAUGGGAAAAAGGAGAAGAAAAGAAAAGAGAAGAAACAGGGGAAUCUGCAACUACAGAGCCAAUCCCUGUGUGGAUCAUCUCCUCCAACCAGAUAACCCACAUUCUAAAUCUUUGAAAGACAAGGAAAAUGAAACUUACAGGGCUAAGACUUUACAGACCUAUGCUAAAUAAACUAUACUGUAAUUUCCCAAACCAGAGAGAUCCAUUUUUCUAUGAUAAAAAUGUUAUUUUCUUCAACACCCAUCUUUUCAUCAGUGAAAAGAAUCUGAGAAUCUAUCAGACUGCAACUAAAAGGGGCAGAAUUUUGAGGUUCUGCUUUUAGUUAUUGGUAUUCAGGCAUCAUCAUCCUGGUCACAAAUCUGAGACUUCCCAUUGGAAGCGCCUGCACAAGGAGGGUUUGUCCACCGACUCCACCCUGAGCUUCCUGUGCCACCUUCUUUCUUUUUUCCCAGCCCUGCUACUGAUGCUGCCCCCGUUACUUUCUUCGCCAAGAUCCCAAAAAUCUUGCCUUUUAUGCUUCCUCUUUUCGGUGGAAUCCUUGCUUUCAUUUUCUUCUGGGGACUCGUAUCUCCAGUGUCCAUUGCUUUGAAUUAUGGAGAACACUGAAAUCGAAGUGGAAGGAUUUGUGACAAAGCAGCAGAGAGAGAAACAGGGGAGCGAAAGUGCCUGUUUUCUAUAAAGGAGAAGAGAAAAAGAAGGAAAACCAGAGAAAGUGAGGAAAAGACUGGUGAGACGGGGGUAUAUAAUAUGACGUCGUGGGGGCACAAGCCAGUUCAGUCAGAAGGGUUCCCACAGUGUGAACAAGACUCAAGUGGGGCUUGAAUUCAAAACCAACAAAUGAAAAUUCUUCUUCUCAUUUGGAACUCUCUCUCUCUCUCUCUCUCAAAGGUACACCUCACCCAUAGCUGUUUUCCUCCAGAUGAUAGUGUGGUAUCACAUAGGAUGACUUGGAAGGUUUAUGGAUAUGUUGGGUUGUCAUCUUCUCAAGUCUCAAUAGUGACAACAAUGGCUCAGAAGAAAACUCACUUUGAAACCCGUUCACACUUCUGUAAAAUAUAUGAGAGGGACAGAAUCUAAAUCAUAAAAGAUAAUGAGAGAGAUAGGCAAGCUAUAUGCAAAUAAAUUAAAAUACUCAAAUAACCUUUUUGGACUUAUAUGUAAAUGGGGAAAUAAAUUUGUAAAUUAUGAAAAGACCCGUUAAAUCAAGUUCUGAUACUAUGUUAAAACCCAUUAAUUAUUCUAAAAAUUUGAACUUAUAAGAUUUAAGGUCGAUAUACAUAUAAUACUCUUUAACAAACUCCCACCAUUCAUUGAAUUUGGCAUGCCUCCCUGGUAUGAGAAGCACAGGACUCUUCCAUAGAACCUUCGGGGAGAAAAUUGAAUGAAGGAGAAGAAUUUUCAGAGCAUAUAUCUGGAAAAUUAGGCACCAUUUGAUGUGAAGUGAUGAAGAAAAGGAUAAAGCCUAGUCAAAGUCAGCUACUCUCUUGGAAUUUCUUUAUUAAUGCUUCUGCUAUAUAGACUUUAUUUCAAGUGUGAAAGCAGAAAUCUUAGCCGACCGCAUAGUCAGCUAAGAUAGUGUCAAGAAAAGGAUGUCAGUAGGACCCUUUUUUCCACGGCCAAUUUACCACCCACUUGAUGGUGUUUGAAAAAAAUAGGAAGUGAUAGUUUAACGUAAAGACUUGAAUAUUUUUACCUCUUUAUGCUCUUUGAUUUGUACAUCCUUGUGAUCAUGGAAAAUUCUUCCUUUGAUUUGUACAUCUCUAGUGACCAUGGAAAACCAAGGAUGACAAAAUUGACUCUAUAUCAAUUUGAUAUAUCACAAAAUGGGGAAGUCGGUAUUGAAAUUUAGAGUAUUUUAUGAGUUAUCAAAAAAAUAGUUAAACAUCAUUAAUGAAUUACUUUUUCAAAAGAAUGUGGUAAUUUGUAGAGUCUUGAUUCAUAGAAUAUCAUAAUUUUAAAACUCAUUAUAUAUUUAUAUUCCCCUAAUUUACUAUAUUUAUGUGUAAAACCGAAGAAAAAAUUCUCCAAAAAAGUAAAUAAAUAAAAAGAUAUUGUAUCCUUGUGCAUGUCAUUGCAUUGUUCCUUUGAUUUGGAUGUCUUUCAUGUCCGUGGAAAACGAUAAAAUUGACUAUCUAUCAAUUUGAUAUAUUACAAAAUGGGGAGUGUCUCUCACCCCCAUAGGACGAGAAAAAUGACUAUAUAACAAUUUGAAAUAUCACAAAAUGGGGAACAUUGAUAUUGAAAUUUAGGGUAUUUUAUGGGUCAUAGAAAAUCAUAUAAAUAUCAUCGUUGGAUUACUUCUUCAAAAUAAUGUAGUAAUUUUAUAUCAUAUGACUUUUUCUAAAAUUGAAAAUAUUUAUAUAUGUUUUAUAAAAUUCAAAAUAUUUAUACAUUUUACAAUUUAAAAGUUCAACUAUCAAUUAUUUUUCGAACUGCUUUUGAGAGGAAAAAAAAAUUAAAUACAAAUCAAAUUUAUAAACAUAAAAUUAUAGAACAUGUUAUCUAAUGACUAUUGUUAAAAGGGAGUAUUUAUUAAUUAAAAUUCAAAUUUUAUAAAGUUCAUACUAUGUUACUAGUGGUUAUAGAAUAUAAAAGUUUAAGAGACAAUUAUGCUUUAAGGGCAAAUAAAACCAAUAAUGGGCCUAAGAUUCAAAAAAUGUGUAAAAUUCAGUUCAAAGGUUAACAAGCAUUUAUGAUUGAGUUAAAAUAUAUGAUUUUUUUUUUUCAUAAUGUCAAAAAAAAAAAAAAACCAUGGAUAUGAAAAUUAUAUAAAAUGAAUUUAUAUUAUGUGACUAUAUUGUAUCAUUUAUCAUGUACCCUACUUCUUUUUUUUUUCUUUAGAUUUUAAAUUUUCUAGUGAUUUAUUUUUUUAAUAAUAAAAAUAAAUAAAUAAAUUAAUCUCAAGUACAAAAUAAAAUCUCUUGAUUUGAAAUGUUUAUCUCAAUGUAUAACUUUAACAAAUUUUUCAAAAUACAAUUUAAAAUGAAAAUAUUAAUUAUUUUUUAAAUGUUUUCAAUAUGAUUUUUUUUAUUUCAUUUAAUAACAAUAUAUAUAUAUAUAUAUAUAUAUAUAUAUAUAUAUAUAUAUAUAUAUAUAUAUAUAUAUAUAUAGGAUCAAAAUUCUAAAAUAUAUACAAAAAAAUCUAAAUAAAAUAAUAAUUGCUUUCUUUCAAACAUAUGAAAAUUACAUUUAAAAAAUGGUAUUAUCAAUAUUAAAUUUUAAUGAAAAUUUUAUUAAUUACUUUCAACCACGUUACUAAAAUUUUAUAUUAUUAAUAAUAAAAUAAAAUAGGAAAAUAAAAAUAAAUUUAAAUUAUAGAAAAUAUUUGUUUUUACUUAAAAAUUAACUUAAAUUAAAAAAAUAUAACCAAAAGUCUAUUAACAUGUCCAUUGUGCUUUCCUUUUUCAAAUUUUUUUAAUAAAAAAUAUUUUUUAAAAAAUAAAAAAGGUGAAAUAAAUGUGAUACUUUGAGAUAAAAAAAAAGUAAAAAAGAAAAAGAAAAAUAUAUAUAAAAGUUAAAAUUAAAUAAUCAAAAGGAUGAGAUCCAUAAACAUAUUUAUUUUCCUGAUUUCUUUAGGGAUGUUUAUGUUUUUCAUAUUUCAUAUCCUUAUUAUCAACUACGUUAGAUAUGUGAACCUUAAAUCUAUAAUCUGUUUUAAUUAAUCCUAAAUCAUGAUUGUCCCAAACUUUAAUAUAAAACUUUUCCCAAUAAAAAAUUAAUUUUUUUUGUAUAUUAAUGAAUAUUUUUUAUAAGUAAAAUGCUAUCCAUGUAUAUCGAAAAGAAAAUAACAAUAACUCUAAAAUAAAAAUUUAUUGAACAAAUUAAAAACCAGCUUGAUUAGUGAAUAUUUCAUUCAAAAUUUCAAUUAUCGAUUUAUUUAUUUAUUUAUUUAUAUUCUGUAAAAUUCAACUACCGAUAUCUUAAUUACAAUUAAAGUUUUCAUCGUUUUAGACAACUAUAUACCCAUAAAAGGAAAAAGCAUAAGGAGACUGCCACAAAAUUUGCUUGCCACGUGAACCAAACGAUGUAUUUCAAACCUAAAAUAUGUACAUGAGAUUAUGUUUAUUCUUUAAAAUCAAAUGACUAAUCAUUUAGGACAAAAGCAUCAGCAGCAGUUAUGCCUCAAAAAUUUCACAUGUGUUGGGGGAACUUAAAGAUGGAAACUAUGGGUCAUAUGUUAGACAAUGAUUUAAGAAAGUGUUUCUAACUUUUUUCAACACUUAAGAAUUUGUAUCAUUCAAGUAUUAGGAAUGUUAUAAACGUUUUUUAAAAUUACUAUCAAAUAUACUCUUAAUUUAAAAAAUGAUUAAAAAAAAACAUUAGGUAUUUGAUUUUUAGGAAAUACUUUUAAAAUUUUAAAAAAUCAUUUAUAAUAUUAAAAAAUCACUUUUCCUUUUUUUAAAAAAAAAAAAAAAUACUUUAUAGGUAAUUUUUCUAAAAGCACUUCCAGAUAAAACAUUUGUACUCAAAACAUUUCGAGUAGAAACAAUGUAAAACGCACUCUUAAUUAUUGGAUUGCUUUGCGAGCAAAAAUAGAAAUGAAAAAUUAUUGGGAAUUUGAUGGUUAAAAGUUUAAAAUUUAUAAAAAUAAAAAUAAAGUAAAAUAUUGUAUUGAUUUGGUAAGCCAACAAAUAUUAUGAAGUAAAAAAAUUCAUAAUGAAUGGAAACCACAAGGUACCAAGAAACGACGGCAUAAAAUUCCCUUUAGAUUGAACACUUGGCGAACGGCCAAGGAGCCCUAAAUGAGAGGACAAGAGCUCUCAUAUUUGUCAUGUUUAUCAUGAUAAGAGGCAUUUUUUGGAAUGAAGAGGUGUCACUUUCCAAAGUCCAGACCAGGGCUGCAGGCACCAUGGCCACAGGAUGAUGAGUCCAAAAUGCAUCACUAAUCAUUCAAACCCUAACUUUUGUGCCACAACAAGAUGUGGACGCCAUGAGAUGCCUACUAAUAUCAGACUCUUUUCAUACUUUCUACCCCAAUCAUUCACUUCAGUCUAUAUCAACUAUAAUCCCUCCCUUGUGAACUCCACAACGAACUAUCCAAUUUCAGCACUGCUCUCUCUCCCUCCCUCCCUCUCCCUCUCUCUCUCUCUGCGAAGCGAAAAUGGUAACAACUUUCUCUAUACAAUAAAAAUUUAUUAGAAUGGAAACAAAUUUUUGUUAAUAAUAAUAAUAAUCUCUCUCUACGAAUCACCGUUCCCGUCCCAUAAUUACUUGAUACCUAAAGUCUUUGGGUUAAAAUAAAGACUUCAACAUUUUUAUCUAUUUUUACUUUUUUUUUUUUCAAGGAAGAGAUAUCGUAUCCUUGUGUGUGCACUUGCAUUGUUCCUUUGAUUUGGACGUCUCUUGUGUCCAUGAAAAACCAAUGGUGGCAAAAUUGACCAUAUAGCAAUUUGAUGUAUCACAAAAUGAGGAGCGUGGAUAUUGAAAUUUAAGGUGUUUUAGGAGUCAUAUAAAAUUAUUUUCGAAAACAAUUUUUAAAAAUAGUUUUUGAAAAAUAUUUUUUUGAUAUUUUGUAUAACAAAAGUUUAUUUAGAAACUUAAAAUAUUUUUAAUCUAUUUUUAAUAUUUUAAAAAUUAGUUUUUAUAUCUAAUGUUUUAUUUUGAAAAAUCAUUCUACACCUCUAUCUAUUUCUUAAUAGUUCAACAAAGUCAUUUAUUUAUUUUAUUAAGGCCUUGUUUGGUAACUAUUUUUUAAAAUUAUUUUGAAAAAUAGUUUUUGAAAACUGUUUUUUGAUGUUUUGUAAAACAAAAAUCUGUUUUGAAACCCAAAAUGUUUUUAAUAUUUUUAAAUAUAUUUUUAAAAUAUUUUUUUUAUCCAUAACUUUAUUUUUAAUCAUGAUAUAUAUAUUUAUAUAAUUAUUUUUUUAAAACAUCUUAAUACAACUAAAAAAUGUUAUUUGAAAACACCACAUUUUUUGUUUUUUGAUAACAAAAAAUAGAAAAAUGCUCUUGGAAGCAAUUCCCAAAUAGGGCCUAAGCUUCUAUUAAAAUAUUGUAUUGAUUUGGUAAGCCAUCAGUAUGUAAUUAAUAUUCUUGAAUAUUUCAAAAUGUUAACUUUUGUAUUUUUAUGAUCAACCAAAUUUGGAUAGUUCAAUUAGUCUCAUAAGGAAAAUAUUGUAAUCAUAAUUAAAUCUUAGUUCAGUCAUUUCAUUUAUAUAUGUUAACAUUUAUACAAGUAAAAAUUUUCAUAAUAAAACUUUAUAAGAAUGGAAACAAAUUUUUGUCCUACUUCUAUUUUUAUUCCCAAGAACCACCAAAAAUAUAAAUAAUAAUAAUUCUGAUAUGUAAAAACCCUAAACUUGAUAAUGUCAAGAUUUUGAAUUUUUUAAAAGUUUUGAGUUGAAUUGUGAUUUUUGUAUAUAAAACAAGUUUUAUUUUUUCUUUGUUCCUUGUUAGCACAAACAAUGAAUUUUACGUUUUGGCUUUAUUUGAUUAUCGAAAAGUAUCAAAGAUAGAAAAAAUGUUAAGAAAAAUAGUUUUGGUUUUCCCAUAUUUGAUUUCAUCAUAUAUAUAUAUAUAUAUAUAUAUAUAUAUAAAAUCAAAUAUUAUUAAUAUUCCUCAAAAUUUUAUAUAUUUUAAAAUUAUUUAAAUCGAGAAAAAUAAAUAAAAUUAGUUUUAAAAAACAGUAAAAAAUAAUUUAUUAAAUUUAAACCUUUUUUUUUCUUCCUUCUACUUUUCCUCUAUAUUUCCUUUCUCUUGCAAUUUUUCCUCAAUCUUUUCAUGGCUAACACUUAAAUGAAUUGGAAAUAAAAAAAAAUAUGAAUUUCAAAUUCUCAUUUCUUAUUCCAAUUUUUGGUUCCUCCUCGAUAUCUAUCCAUUUAGCUUGAUUAACUAAAACACAAUAAGAGUGUGUUUGAUAGUAAUUUUAGAAAGCGUUUUUAAUAUCUUUAAAUAUAAAAAAUUUUAAGUAUUAGAAAGAUUAGAAAUACUUCCUAAAAUCGUUAUUAAACAUACUAUAAGAACGUAUUUGAUAGUAAUUUUAAAAAGUAUUUUUAUCAUCUUUAAUAUUGUGAAAGAUAAAAAAUUUUAAAUGUUUAAAAAACUAUAAAUACUUCAUAAAUUCAUUGUCAAACUUACUCUAACUUAUACAAACAUAUUUGGCGAAAACUUCAAAUUAACAUGUGUAAUAAAACAUUUUUUUUUCUUUCCACAUCAUACUUUCCAUACAUUGCAUACUCAUUUUCUCAACACAUAGAAGUCAACUAAUCCUCUUGUUUGUGGGGUUUAGCAUCAUCGUCAUCAAGCUUAGAAGCCGGUACAAAAAAAUUUGGUUUUGAUCUUAUUCUGUACAGAGGCGGACCCAUCUUGUAAUUAGCUUUUGACAUUGUAGAAUAUCUUGGUUCCCCUAAUAGCGAAUGAGUACCGUCUUCGUCGAUAUCUGCAGAAACCUUUGACGCUAUGAGGAUCAUCAUCAACAUGACAAUGAAACUCAUUGAGAUCUUUUGGUUUGAAGUCGCCAUGUUGAGUGGGGCUCAAGAAAUGUUGGCUGAAAAGGAUUUAUUAGUGAAAAGAUGGCUCAUUCUGAAAGCAAGGAAUGAUGAGUGAGAUUUUAUAAGGGGGGAGGAGGGGGUGUUUGGAUGGAGUUAAAAUUGGUGGAAAGUUGUUUUGAUGGUUAUUUUGGGGUUUGAUUUUGUUGUUGAAUGGCAAUUAUGUCUUGGAGAUUUGGUCAAUUUUAAUUCCAAGAAUUACGGAUAGCCAUUAAUUCUAAUUACUCCAAAUAGUCACAACUUACGGAAGAGGAAAUUUUUUUUUUUCGAAACGUGUAAAUAAAUUUAAAUUUAAAAUUUUUAACAUACAAUUUCUUUUUUCAAAAGUAAAAAAAAAAAAAAAAAAAAAGUAGGUUGCAACUUCGACAGGUUGAUUGAAUUAAUGACUAAUUUAAAUUGAAUAUGAAUUAAUAAAUAAUUAAUUCAAUCUCAACCGUAUUGAAACUCUAACCCAAGAUACUCAAUUCAAACAUAAUUGAACUUAAUUUUUUUUUUUUUAACUUAGAUUGAAUUUGAGUUAAUUGAGUUAAACUCGGGUUGGUUGGAUUAAAUUUGGGUUAAUAGGAUUAUAUAAUUCAAAACUUAUCUAUAAUGAUUUUUAAAAAACUUUAUAUAUAUAUAUAAAGUGGUGAAUAAGAUAAAAUUUUAAAAUAAUAAUAAAAAAAUGAAUAAGUUUUUGUAUUUGUUCCAAAAAAUGAAAAAAUAUAUGAUAUAAUUAUAAUGUGAUUUUUAAAAUUUUUUAAAAAUAAAUAUUAUUAUACAUAAUAAUAAAUAUUAUAAAAAAUAUUAAAUCGGAUUUAAGUUAGAUUGUUAUUUAAACCUUAGUUUAAAUCCAACCCAAAUUGAGUUCGAGUUAAGAAGACUUAACCCAAACUAAACCAAAAAAUUGAAAAUGUUUAGCCAAACCCAUUAAAACAUCGGGUUGGAUUCUAGUUGGAUUGGAUCAACUUAUUCAAGUUGCACACUUUUUUUUUAAAAAAAAAAGAAAAAAUAGUUUUAAAAUUUUUACAAAAGAAAAAGAAAAUUUUGAAUUAACAAAAAUGUAAAAUUAUAUUUGAUUUUUGAAAAUUUUGAAAGAAAAUACUAAGAAAAGAAAAUAAGGAGGAAAACUAGAAGAAAAAAAAAAUAUUUUUAUAUGUUUCUUUAAAUUUAUUUUACUUAUUUUCUUUUAUUACGUAAAAAUUAAAUAAUUUUAAAAUACAUAAAAUUAAUUUUAAUUAUAUUUUGUUUUCUUCUAUACUUUUCUAACCAAAUAUAAUAAAACUAUUUUUCUUAACUUUAUUUUACGUAAAAAUUAAAUAAUUUUAAAAUACAUAAAAUUAAUUUUAAUUAUAUUUUGUUUUCUUCUAUACUUUUCUAACCAAAUAUAAUAAAACUAUUUUUCUUAACUUUAUUUUUUUUAUUUCUUUAAUACUUUCAAGAAACCAUACAAAGUCUAAAUGAAAAAAAUGUCAAUGAAAAGACACAUUCAAUUGGAAUUGAAAUUACAAUACUUUUAUAAUGUACUUAUUUUUGCUUUAAUUUUAUAUACUCCCUUUUGGAUGGUAAAAUUUAAUUAAAACAUCAAUUUAAGCAUAGCAUAUUCCUAAGACUAGAUAACAUGAGUAUCCAUUUUUAUAAUUAUCGAAAGAUAGACAAUAAAUAUAGUGAAAAUACAUAUUCUUUGGAAGGUUUUAUAAUUACCAUUUUCAAUGAUCCAAGACAAGAAAAAUGAUUAUUUAUUAGAAGAGAACUUUUUAAAAAAUGACAUGGAAAUAACUAGAAAACAAUCGAUAAAACUUGGAUGAACUAACAAAAAUCAAUUGAAAAUCUCAAAAAUUUAAUUGGACAAACAUGAAUCGCAUGAUACAUCAAAAAUAUUUGAAGGUACAUUUGGAUUCACGGUAUCGGAAAUAGAAAAGGUGAGUUUGUAGAGACUCAUGUAAAAUAAUUACAAAAUAGAAAUCCCUAAAAAUAAUUCUAUUGGAAGAGAACUUUUAAAAAAAAUGAUGUGGAAAUAACUAGAAAACAAUCAAUAAAACUUGAAUGAACCAACAAAAAUCAAUUGAAAAUCUCAAAAAUUUAAUUGGACAAACAUGAAUAGCACGAUACAUAAAAAAUAUUUGAAGGUACAUUUGGAUUCUCAAUAUCUAAAAUGGAAAAGGUGAGUUUUUAGAGACUCGUGAAAAUAAUUACAAAAUAGGAAUCCUUAAAAAUAAUUCAAGUUUCAUAUACUCACGGUUUAAAUAUAAUACCUAAAUGAUCAAAUGUAGUAUCUAUAUCACUAAAAUGUAGUAUUUGAAUAGUUAAAGUAUUACAUUUGACCAAAAAGUCCAUGAAAUGCUAAUUAUUUGUAGAUAAGUGUUUGAAAUUUAUAUUUUAUAAACUUAGAUUCUUAUUUUAUGGUGAAGAAGAAGAAUAAAAAGUUUUUAUGCUAUGAAUAAGGUAAUAUUAACCUUAUAAAAUUUUUUUAGCUUUAAGCUAUGUUUGGUUCAAAAAAAAAAAAAAAAGGUAAAGAAAAUAAUUUUCUUAUGUAUGAUUUUAUGGUAAAAAAUCCUAAUAAAAGUAAAGUAUAAUUAAAAUUAUUAAAAAUUUAUAUGUGAAAUUAUUAAAUUUUUAUAUAAAGAAAAUUAAAUAAGUAAAAAAAUAAAAAUAAUUUAUUGAAUUUAAAUCUAUUUUUUAUUUUUCUUCACUUUUUUAUUUUAUUUUAUUUUUUUCUUUAUUUCCUUUUUCAGAUAUAUUUUCUAAAAUUUUUGAGUAACCAAACAUCACCUUAAAUUUAAAUUUUCAUAUACUUUAGACCAUAAAUUAAGGCAGAAUUCAUCCAAAUAUAUACCUUAUAAACAACAUUUUAUGAAUAAUUUUAAAUCUUGUGAUUGAUUUUCUUCAUGAAUUGUAUUAAUUUAAUAAAAAAAUAAUCUUUUAUUAAAAUAAACUAGAAUAAAAAAUUAUCAUCACUAAGGCAGGA
Molecule: long non-coding RNA, 15739 nt
Filed under: Vitis vinifera (wine grape)
Lineage: Eukaryota; Viridiplantae; Streptophyta; Magnoliopsida; Vitales; Vitaceae
Description: long non-coding RNA (VVIN_LNC004061)
Source: RNAcentral